Long non-coding RNA from Ictalurus punctatus (channel catfish), 939 nucleotides. RefSeq lists it as uncharacterized. NCBI's taxonomy places the organism in Eukaryota, Metazoa, Chordata, Actinopteri, Siluriformes, Ictaluridae. The transcript has 3 exons. The record is from RefSeq and is a predicted model, not a curated record.
AUGUGCUAUCAAUUUUUUGUUUGUUUGUUUGUUUGUUUUUAAAUCAGUGAUAUAUGCAUGGAGCCAGAGGAAUGGUUUAUGGUGAAGGAAAGCAGCUUCAGUUUUGUGACCCAUCUGUACUUAAUAGUAAAUAAUUUGACCUUUGUAUACAUUUCACCUCACGAUGGCGCCAUCUGCAAACAUAACCUUUUCAUAUACUCCGCUGCGUUUCAACUACCGUAGGUUACAGUGGAUCUGGAGCCACUGGACAUAGUCACACCUAUUCACACCAAGGGAUAAAUUAGAGACAUCAUCAUUGCUGUGGUACCUGGAGGGUGACCACAGAGACCCGGACAAAGCAGGUGACACUCAACACAGACAGGAACCUGAGCUCAGGAUUGAACCUAGGGUUGGACAUACAGUCACAUUUUUGUUAGGAGGAAAAAAUCACACUAAAUGUCUCAUUACCAUAAAUGAAAUGUCUGUCUUCUUUAUUUAUGGAUACACAAACUUUUGGACUUAACUGUGUUAGUCUUAUUAUCUCAGUCACGACACCUGGCACAAGUCAGCAAUUCAGACUUGCCCUUUGCUAUUAGCACCAAGGCUCUAAUACAAGUCCAGGUUUGAAACUAUAGUUGUGUUUUUGUUCUUGUAUUAUUAUACAACAUUGCCAAUCUAAACUAAUCCUCCGCAUUGUUCCCUGGGAUAGGCUCCAGUCUCCCCAUGACCCUGUGCAGGUUAAACAGUACUGAAAAUGGAUGGAAAACAGACAUCAAAUCUUUAGUAGCACUUGAUUAUCAAGUAGCGCUGGGCUAUAUGACAAAAAUAUUACAUCACGAUACUUGAGGACAUUUCGAUGAUGCACAAUGCGCAUCACAAUAUAUAAUUUAGUUAACAAACUGUCUGCAAAACGGCAGUAAAAUAAACAAAUAAACCAUUAAACCAAGUUCAGUGAUUCUA